GAUAAACGCUGGCGGCGCACAUAAGACAUGCAAGUCGAACGAACUUAAUCUUUAGUUUACUAUAGAAGCGGUUAGUGGCGGACUGGUGAGUAACGCGUAAGCAAUCUGCCUAUCAGAGGGGGAUAACAGUGAGAAAUCACUGCUAAUACCGCAUAAGCUGUGAAUAUCGCAUGAUAAAAAUAGAAAAGGAGUAAUCCACUGAUAGAUGAGCUUGCGUCUGAUUAGUUAGUUGGUGAGGUAACGGCCCACCAAGACGAUGAUCAGUAGCCGGACUGAGAGGUUAAACGGCCACAUUGGGACUGAGAUACGGCCCAG
RNAcentral lists this ribosomal RNA (315 nucleotides) under uncultured bacterium. RNAcentral describes it as "bacterial SSU rRNA". It matches the Rfam family "Bacterial small subunit ribosomal RNA", at positions 28 to 334 of the family's 1533-position model. The record is from RNAcentral.